UUCGCGACCAGAUGAAUUAUCAAACACCAAAAUACAUUUAAUAUACUCAUAUCGAAAUGCAGCAGAAUAAACCAACCAUUAAAACCGAAUCAAGAGAUGAAAACACCAAAAUACAUUUAAUAUACUCAUAUCGAAAUGCAGCAGAAUAAACCAACCAUUAAAACCGAAUCAAGAGAUGAAGUUCAAAGGAAAAUCCAACCGUAUCUACAGCGUCAGCUCGCCCUUUUCUUAGGAACCGAUGACCCCGAAUCGUGCUUAAACUUUGGCUCUGUGUUCAACUCCGCUUCAGCUCUAAUCUGAAUCACGAAUCUCGUCGGUAUGGUUGCCGGUUCGUGUCGUCAAUCUGCGUUUUAACCAAGAACCGAAUGGAACCCUUCGAUACCACAAUCAACC
This 393-nucleotide long non-coding RNA is filed under the name Lathyrus oleraceus (garden pea). Its description in RNAcentral is "Pisum sativum (pea) long non-coding RNA (PSAT_LNC004773)". The record is from RNAcentral. Lineage: Eukaryota; Viridiplantae; Streptophyta; Magnoliopsida; Fabales; Fabaceae.